RNAcentral lists this ribosomal RNA (769 nucleotides) under Salmonella enterica subsp. enterica serovar Infantis. RNAcentral's name for it is "partial 23S ribosomal RNA". It matches the Rfam family "Bacterial large subunit ribosomal RNA", at positions 2034 to 2802 of the family's 2925-position model. Lineage: Bacteria; Pseudomonadati; Pseudomonadota; Gammaproteobacteria; Enterobacterales; Enterobacteriaceae. RNAcentral also lists the same sequence under 1 other name. The record is from RNAcentral.
CAGUGAAAUUGAACUCGCUGUGAAGAUGCAGUGUACCCGCGGCAAGACGGAAAGACCCCGUGAACCUUUACUAUAGCUUGACACUGAACAUUGAGCCUUGAUGUGUAGGAUAGGUGGGAGGCUUUGAAGCGUGGACGCCAGUCUGCGUGGAGCCGACCUUGAAAUACCACCCUUUAAUGUUUGAUGUUCUAACGUGGAUCCGUAAUCCGGGUUGCGGACAGUGUCUGGUGGGUAGUUUGACUGGGGCGGUCUCCUCCUAAAGAGUAACGGAGGAGCACGAAGGUUGGCUAAUCCUGGUCGGACAUCAGGAGGUUAGUGCAAUGGCAUAAGCCAGCUUGACUGCGAGCGUGACGGCGCGAGCAGGUGCGAAAGCAGGUCAUAGUGAUCCGGUGGUUCUGAAUGGAAGGGCCAUCGCUCAACGGAUAAAAGGUACUCCGGGGAUAACAGGCUGAUACCGCCCAAGAGUUCAUAUCGACGGCGGUGUUUGGCACCUCGAUGUCGGCUCAUCACAUCCUGGGGCUGAAGUAGGUCCCAAGGGUAUGGCUGUUCGCCAUUUAAAGUGGUACGCGAGCUGGGUUUAGAACGUCGUGAGACAGUUCGGUCCCUAUCUGCCGUGGGCGCUGGAGAACUGAGGGGGGCUGCUCCUAGUACGAGAGGACCGGAGUGGACGCAUCACUGGUGUUCGGGUUGUCAUGCCAAUGGCACUGCCCGGUAGCUAAAUGCGGAAGAGAUAAGUGCUGAAAGCAUCUAAGCACGAAACUUGCCCCGA